RNAcentral lists this ribosomal RNA (2903 nucleotides) under Escherichia coli UMEA 3193-1. RNAcentral's name for it is "bacterial LSU rRNA". It matches the Rfam family "Bacterial large subunit ribosomal RNA". Lineage: Bacteria; Pseudomonadati; Pseudomonadota; Gammaproteobacteria; Enterobacterales; Enterobacteriaceae. The record is from RNAcentral.
UUAAGCGACUAAGCGUACACGGUGGAUGCCCUGGCAGUCAGAGGCGAUGAAGGACGUGCUAAUCUGCGAUAAGCGUCGGUGAGGUGAUAUGAACCGUUAUAACCGGCGAUUUCCGAAUGGGGAAACCCAGUGUGUUUCGACACACUAUCAUUAACUGAAUCCAUAGGUUAAUGAGGCGAACCGGGGGAACUGAAACAUCUAAGUACCCCGAGGAAAAGAAAUCAACCGAGAUUCCCCCAGUAGCGGCGAGCGAACGGGGAGGAGCCCAGAGCCUGAAUCAGUGUGUGUGUUAGUGGAAGCGUCUGGAAAGGCGCGCGAUACAGGGUGACAGCCCCGUACACAAAAAUGCACAUAUUGUGAGCUCGAUGAGUAGGGCGGGACACGUGGUAUCCUGUCUGAAUAUGGGGGGACCAUCCUCCAAGGCUAAAUACUCCUGACUGACCGAUAGUGAACCAGUACCGUGAGGGAAAGGCGAAAAGAACCCCGGCGAGGGGAGUGAAAAAGAACCUGAAACCGUGUACGUACAAGCAGUGGGAGCCUCUUAAUGGGGUGACUGCGUACCUUUUGUAUAAUGGGUCAGCGACUUAUAUUCUGUAGCAAGGUUAACCGAAUAGGGGAGCCGAAGGGAAACCGAGUCUUAACUGGGCGUUAAGUUGCAGGGUAUAGACCCGAAACCCGGUGAUCUAGCCAUGGGCAGGUUGAAGGUUGGGUAACACUAACUGGAGGACCGAACCGACUAAUGUUGAAAAAUUAGCGGAUGACUUGUGGCUGGGGGUGAAAGGCCAAUCAAACCGGGAGAUAGCUGGUUCUCCCCGAAAGCUAUUUAGGUAGCGCCUCGUGAAUUCAUCUCCGGGGGUAGAGCACUGUUUCGGCAAGGGGGUCAUCCCGACUUACCAACCCGAUGCAAACUGCGAAUACCGGAGAAUGUUAUCACGGGAGACACACGGCGGGUGCUAACGUCCGUCGUGAAGAGGGAAACAACCCAGACCGCCAGCUAAGGUCCCAAAGUCAUGGUUAAGUGGGAAACGAUGUGGGAAGGCCCAGACAGCCAGGAUGUUGGCUUAGAAGCAGCCAUCAUUUAAAGAAAGCGUAAUAGCUCACUGGUCGAGUCGGCCUGCGCGGAAGAUGUAACGGGGCUAAACCAUGCACCGAAGCUGCGGCAGCGACGCUUAUGCGUUGUUGGGUAGGGGAGCGUUCUGUAAGCCUGUGAAGGUGUGCUGUGAGGCAUGCUGGAGGUAUCAGAAGUGCGAAUGCUGACAUAAGUAACGAUAAAGCGGGUGAAAAGCCCGCUCGCCGGAAGACCAAGGGUUCCUGUCCAACGUUAAUCGGGGCAGGGUGAGUCGACCCCUAAGGCGAGGCCGAAAGGCGUAGUCGAUGGGAAACAGGUUAAUAUUCCUGUACUUGGUGUUACUGCGAAGGGGGGACGGAGAAGGCUAUGUUGGCCGGGCGACGGUUGUCCCGGUUUAAGCGUGUAGGCUGGUUUUCCAGGCAAAUCCGGAAAACCAAGGCUGAGGCGUGAUGACGAGGCACUACGGUGCUGAAGCGACAAAUGCCCUGCUUCCAGGAAAAGCCUCUAAGCAUCAGGUAACAUCAAAUCGUACCCCAAACCGACACAGGUGGUCAGGUAGAGAAUACCAAGGCGCUUGAGAGAACUCGGGUGAAGGAACUAGGCAAAAUGGUGCCGUAACUUCGGGAGAAGGCACGCUGAUAUGUAGGUGAAGCGACUUGCUCGUGGAGCUGAAAUCAGUCGAAGAUACCAGCUGGCUGCAACUGUUUAUUAAAAACACAGCACUGUGCAAACACGAAAGUGGACGUAUACGGUGUGACGCCUGCCCGGUGCCGGAAGGUUAAUUGAUGGGGUUAGCGGCAACGCGAAGCUCUUGAUCGAAGCCCCGGUAAACGGCGGCCGUAACUAUAACGGUCCUAAGGUAGCGAAAUUCCUUGUCGGGUAAGUUCCGACCUGCACGAAUGGCGUAAUGAUGGCCAGGCUGUCUCCACCCGAGACUCAGUGAAAUUGAACUCGCUGUGAAGAUGCAGUGUACCCGCGGCAAGACGGAAAGACCCCGUGAACCUUUACUAUAGCUUGACACUGAACAUUGAGCCUUGAUGUGUAGGAUAGGUGGGAGGCUUUGAAGUGUGGACGCCAAUCUGCAUGGAGCCGACCUUGAAAUACCACCCUUUAAUGUUUGAUGUUCUAACGUUGGCCCGUAAUCCGGGUUGCGGACAGUGUCUGGUGGGUAGUUUGACUGGGGCGGUCUCCUCCUAAAGAGUAACGGAGGAGCACGAAGGUUGGCUAAUCCUGGUCGGACAUCAGGAGGUUAGUGCAAUGGCAUAAGCCAGCUUGACUGCGAGCGUGACGGCGCGAGCAGGUGCGAAAGCAGGUCAUAGUGAUCCGGUGGUUCUGAAUGGAAGGGCCAUCGCUCAACGGAUAAAAGGUACUCCGGGGAUAACAGGCUGAUACCGCCCAAGAGUUCAUAUCGACGGCGGUGUUUGGCACCUCGAUGUCGGCUCAUCACAUCCUGGGGCUGAAGUAGGUCCCAAGGGUAUGGCUGUUCGCCAUUUAAAGUGGUACGCGAGCUGGGUUUAGAACGUCGUGAGACAGUUCGGUCCCUAUCUGCCGUGGGCGCUGGAGAACUGAGGGGGGCUGCUCCUAGUACGAGAGGACCGGAGUGGACGCAUCACUGGUGUUCGGGUUGUCAUGCCAAUGGCACUGCCCGGUAGCUAAAUGCGGAAGAGAUAAGUGCUGAAAGCAUCUAAGCACGAAACUUGCCCCGAGAUGAGUUCUCCCUGACUCCUUGAGAGUCCUGAAGGAACGUUGAAGACGACGACGUUGAUAGGCCGGGUGUGUAAGCGCAGCGAUGCGUUGAGCUAACCGGUACUAAUGAACCGUGAGGCUUAACCUU